UGUCGUAAUCUUGGAUUGGGCUC
This 23-nucleotide non-coding RNA is filed under the name Arabidopsis thaliana (thale cress). The record is from RNAcentral. Lineage: Eukaryota; Viridiplantae; Streptophyta; Magnoliopsida; Brassicales; Brassicaceae.